UACACAACACAACAACCACAACAACUUACCCACCAAGUCGAUGCGAUAGAACUCACCAGACUGUUACAUUUCGUUGGCAUUUUAAGGUGCCAAGUGCAGGUGGAGAAUGAGGAGAAUCCCAGCCUGAGGAGGAGUGAGGAGAUACGGGCCAGGAACCUGGAAGACUCCCACGAGGAAAACAUUCGGUCUCAUCCAGAGUUUUACACACAAGAGCGCCUCCAGCAAUCAACACGCGCUUAUCACGACUGCUGUACGACAAAAAGGCCCCACAAAACACCACAGCACAACGCAUACAGACAGACAGACAAACAAGGAAGAAUCACGCGUCUUCAUGCGACCGUGUCGGAUUGAAGAAAAAAGGGCCCCUGUGGUGGUGCUGUGUCCGAGUCGGAGCUUGGUGAUUCAGCAGCCAUACGGAGCAGGACGGAGACGCGCGUGGAGAGGAGAGAAA
Engraulis encrasicolus (European anchovy) is the source of this 451-nucleotide long non-coding RNA. RefSeq lists it as uncharacterized. The transcript is spliced from 4 exons. The record is from RefSeq and is a predicted model, not a curated record. Lineage: Eukaryota; Metazoa; Chordata; Actinopteri; Clupeiformes; Engraulidae.